This 505-nucleotide ribosomal RNA is filed under the name uncultured bacterium. RNAcentral describes it as "partial 16S ribosomal RNA". It matches the Rfam family "Bacterial small subunit ribosomal RNA", at positions 28 to 507 of the family's 1533-position model. The record is from RNAcentral.
GACGAACGCUGGCGGCGUGCCUAAUACAUGCAAGUAGAACGCACAGUUUAUACCGUAGCUUGCUACACCAUAGACUGUGAGUUGCGAACGGGUGAGUAACGCGUAGGUAACCUGCCUGGUAGCGGGGGAUAACUAUUGGAAACGAUAGCUAAUACCGCAUAAUAUUAAUUAUUGCAUGAUAAUUAAUUGAAAGGUGCAAUUGCACCACUACCAGAUGGACCUUCGUUGUAUUAGCUAGUAGGUGAGGUAACGGCUCACCUAGGCGACGAUACAUAGCCGACAUGAGAGGGUGAUCGGCCACACUGGGACUGAGACACGGCCCAGACUCCUACGGGAGGCAGCAGUAGGGAAUCUUCGGCAAGGGACGAUAGUCUGACCGAGCAACGCCGCGGGAGUGAAGAAGGUUUUCGGAUCGUAAAGCUCUGUUGUAAGAGAAGAACGGGUGUGAGAGUGGAAAGUUCACACUGUGACGGUAUCUUACCAGAAAGGGACGGCUAACUACGUG